Cinara cedri is the source of this 250-nucleotide non-coding RNA. The record is from the annotation of a GenBank genome assembly. NCBI's taxonomy places the organism in Eukaryota, Metazoa, Arthropoda, Insecta, Hemiptera, Aphididae.
AUAGGCACCGUUGCAGUCCUAUAAUAUAGUGAGCUCGAUUCGAUUACUUUUAUUUCGUCUGUGGCCCGUCUGUCUCGCGAUCCAUUCUGCUCGCCAAAAGAUCGAGGCCUCCGAGACUCUUGACCGCACGGGUGCAACGGUCCGGACCAUUCGUGCAAACACUCACUUUGCCGCCGCUAUAUUUUCCUCGACGUUCUAUUUAUUUACCCGUCACAAACACUGCUGCACCGCGAGUAUUUCAGAAAAAAUA